Non-coding RNA from Triticum aestivum (bread wheat), 136 nucleotides. The record is from Rfam. NCBI's taxonomy places the organism in Eukaryota, Viridiplantae, Streptophyta, Magnoliopsida, Poales, Poaceae.
CAAUUACUCCCUCCGUCCGAAAAUACUUGUCAUCAAAAUGAAUAAAAAUAGAUGCAUCUAAAACUAAAAUACAUCUAGAUACAUCCCCUUUUAUCUAGUUUGAUGACAAGUAUUUUUCGGACAGAGGGAGUACUAU